Molecule: ribosomal RNA, 425 nt
Filed under: uncultured Acinetobacter sp.
Lineage: Bacteria; Pseudomonadati; Pseudomonadota; Gammaproteobacteria; Moraxellales; Moraxellaceae
Description: bacterial SSU rRNA
Rfam family: Bacterial small subunit ribosomal RNA
Source: RNAcentral
GGAAUAUUGGACAAUGGGGGGAACCCUGAUCCAGCCAUGCCGCGUGUGUGAAGAAGGCCUUAUGGUUGUAAAGCACUUUAAGCGAGGAGGAGGCUCUUUUGGUUAAUACCCAAGAUGAGUGGACGUUACUCGCAGAAUAAGCACCGGCUAACUCUGUGCCAGCAGCCGCGGUAAUACAGAGGGUGCGAGCGUUAAUCGGAUUUACUGGGCGUAAAGCGUGCGUAGGCGGCUUUUUAAGUCGGAUGUGAAAUCCCCGAGCUUAACUUGGGAAUUGCAUUCGAUACUGGGAAGCUAGAGUAUGGGAGAGGAUGGUAGAAUUCCAGGUGUAGCGGUGAAAUGCGUAGAGAUCUGGAGGAAUACCGAUGGCGAAGGCAGCCAUCUGGCCUAAUACUGACGCUGAGGUACGAAAGCAUGGGGAGCAAACA